This 249-nucleotide ribosomal RNA is filed under the name Triticum aestivum (bread wheat). RNAcentral describes it as "partial small subunit ribosomal RNA". The record is from RNAcentral. Lineage: Eukaryota; Viridiplantae; Streptophyta; Magnoliopsida; Poales; Poaceae.
AUGGCUUCUCCUACGCCGUCCUCGUCUCCUAUGCCGGUUAUGGACGCACGGAUGAGGCUGAUAAUCCAGGCAGGAACACUGAUUAAUGUGAUUCAGGCAUGGGUCAUGUUCAUGCACCAGAGAGCUAUUCGUCGUGCUGGGAGACCUUUGAUCUGCUAUAGUCCAUUGUUUCUCCGGAAACAGGAGAGGAUCCAAAAUCUGAACUACAUCUACAACUGCAAUGACGUCGAGGCUUUGUGGAUGCUUUGA